Macaca mulatta (Rhesus monkey) is the source of this 1454-nucleotide non-coding RNA. Lineage: Eukaryota; Metazoa; Chordata; Mammalia; Primates; Cercopithecidae. The record is from RefSeq and is a predicted model, not a curated record.
GGCAGGGAAUUGCUUGAACCCAUAGGCGGAGGUUGCAGUGAGCUGAGAUCACGCCACUGCACUCCAGCCUGGAUAGAGACUCCGUCUAAACUUCAUUGAGGAGGCAGGAAGGGAACAUUUUGCUGAGAAACCCAAAAAAGAGAGGAGGUUUUCUGCUAAAAUUAUGGAACAGAGGUUAAAGAAGACAAAAAACCCUUAAGGACAGAGAAUCAGAGAUUAGACAAUACAUAUUUUUUAAUGGAAACAAUGACCAUUGGACAAGUGGCAAAUUAUAUGAGAAAAUGGAAGAACAAAAAGGAGAAGAAACUUGCUCACAGUUGCAAAUAUACUAAAAGAUGAAAUCCAAAACUCAAGAGUUUUCCAAUAAGCAUUCUGGAACAAGCUGAAUUCUCAGACUGUCCUCAAUGACAAUAUACUCUGCUCUGUCUUCUUAGGACUUUUUCUUUCCAGAGCCUUUAAGUCCUUAGCUAAAUUCUACCACCAAUAACAAAAAUAUGAGGGUUAUAUAUAAGAAGAGUAAAUGAUGCUAAAAAUACAUUUUUGCCAUGGUGCAUACUCUUCUCCAAUAAAAACUUUGACAAUGCAGAACCAAAUACAUAGGUUUUUAUAAAAUAACUAUUUAUUACAUAGAAAACUUUUCUCAGCCCCACUUCACUGCUCUUAUGUUAUUUAUCAAAAUUCAAAAUAACCUGUGACAAUAGCCAUCACUAACAAUGUUUUCACUUAUUCUUUCACCCACAUUCUCUUAUUUGAUCUUUACAGCCCAGAAAUAGAAUAUCAUCAUCCUCAUUUACCAACGAGCAAGCCAAGUCAGGAUAAAUGACUUGUCGAGGUUGGCCAAUAAUAUGGAACCUGAAACAAUGCAUGCCUUAUGCUGAAAACUUCUGCCUUUCUUCACCUAUUCUAAAGAAAGAUAACUGUUAAUUAAACAUCCAUACCUGCCAUAAUCAAGUCACAAGAUGAGAAUCCCUUUUCAGCAUUGUUUCUUUCUGGGCUCAAUAGCUCCAGGCAUGCCAGAAGCAGUCAAUCCUGGAUGCAGGAACUCUCCUAAUACUGAAAUAGGACAAGAAAAUAUUAAAACACAGAACUAUUUCAAACGAUACUGACCAACUUCUUCUGGAAGCUUUCUUCCUGGCUACCUGGGACUUCACCAUACCUGCUCUCCUCUGAGGCAGAAGACCACAGUCAUUAAGAGUGUGGACUUCCUGGGCUGGUAUACCAACUCCACAACACACUAGCUAUGUGACCUAGGAGAAGUUACCCACCCUUUCUCUAAUUCAGUGUUUCCUCUUUAGUAGACACUAGUAACAUAUAAUGUACAGCUAUACCUAAUAUACAGUAAUGUAAGGACUCAAUGGAAUAACCAAUUUCAAGUGCUUAAAACAGUGCCUGGCACAUUGAGACCAUUCCACAUGUAACAGUUAUCUUAUUAAAAUUUAUUAUCUGAUUCAAAA